GAUGAACGCUAGCUACAGGCUUAACACAUGCAAGUCGAGGGGUAACGAGAGGGAAGCUUGCUUUCCUUGUCGACGACCGGCGCACGGGUGAGUAACGCGUAUCCAACCUGCCCCCAACUAGGGAAUAACCUUGCGAAAGUAAGACUAAUACCCUAUAAUUUCCUCAGAUGUCAUCUGACGAGGAAUAAAGAUUUAUCGGUUGUGGAUGGGGAUGCGUCUGAUUAGCUUGUUGGCGGGGUAACGGCCCACCAAGGCAACGAUCAGUAGGGGUUCUGGGAGGAAGGUCCCCCACAUUGGGACGGAGACACCGUCCAAACUCCUAGGGGAGGCAGCAGUGAGGAAUAUUGGUCAAUGGGCGGAAGCUUGCACCAGCGAAGUAGCGUGCAGGAUGACGGCCCUAUGGGUUGUAAACUGCUUUUAUACAGGAAUAAAGUUAGCCACGUGUGGUUAUUUGUAGGUACUGUAUGAAUAAGGAUCGGCUAAUUCCGUGCCAGCCGCCGCAGUAA
RNAcentral lists this ribosomal RNA (506 nucleotides) under uncultured bacterium. RNAcentral describes it as "partial 16S ribosomal RNA". It matches the Rfam family "Bacterial small subunit ribosomal RNA", at positions 28 to 523 of the family's 1533-position model. The record is from RNAcentral.